RNAcentral lists this long non-coding RNA (1118 nucleotides) under Glycine max (soybean). RNAcentral's name for it is "long non-coding RNA (GMAX_LNC001503)". The record is from RNAcentral. Lineage: Eukaryota; Viridiplantae; Streptophyta; Magnoliopsida; Fabales; Fabaceae.
UGUCUGGUUUCAUUGACGUCAUUGGUAUCAAUUUAGACCGAAAGACAACAUUCAACAUUUAUUUUUGAAAUUCUUUUUUUCCAUUUUCUUUUCUGAAGCAAAAAAUUCCAUGUCUUUUCGUUUUGUUUUUACUUUAAUUCUUUAUUAUAUUGUUAGAGUUCUGACCACCACCUCUUCUUCCAUAACUAUACAACUAAAACUCUAUCACGACCUUCUUUCUUGCAUAGCCGGCUAAAAUUAAAUAUCUACCAUGACCAUCUAGAAGAACUAGUAUGCUCUAACCUUUUUUUAUCUUCUUCCGAGAAAAGAGUGGAUUUUUUUUAAAGACAAAUUCAUGGAAUAUAUAGCAACUUGUACAUCAUGUUUAUCAUGUUUAACUAAUUAAGUUAAACUCUAUAACCAUUAUAAUUCAUAAUGGUCAUAAUUUCUAAGUUUUGUGAUAGUUAAUGACUAAUCACAUACAACAACAUAAGUAAAUUUCUAGUUUAGUGUGUCAAUGAAUAGUUUUUUUUCUUUCCAGAUGAGCAUUUUGAUUUUUUUUUUAUCAUAUUUCUCAUUUUAAUUAACAAUUGCUAAAAUUCUUGCAAACCAAAUCAUGAAUGAAUAUUCAACCUCGCCUCUUAAUUGAUCUUCUUACCGUGUCAACACUUUUGCUAAAAAAUUUGGAGAAUUUUCAGAACGUGUUUAUUCUGUUUUUUUGCAUUGUAAUAAUAUUUUUGAAACAUGUAAUCAUUUAAGUUUCAUGAAUGAUGCUAAAAGUAUGCUAUCUGCUACAAUUCCCUUACAAUUAGUUUUUUUGCAUGGUCUUUCCUCGUAAGCAUUUUCUAUCAUUUCCUGUGCAUUAGCAGCCAAGAAUUGCCAUAACUCGAAUACCAAUUAAUUUUGGAAAUCUUUUUGAGUUUGGGAACUACAAAAGAGGAGGUGGCCAUGACCAUCUUCAAAGGAUUUGUUGACCUUUGUGAUAACACUUUGAAGUAGAAAACCGAGAGAUUGAUAAAGGAGACGAGACAUUAAAAUGAAACUCACUUUAAAUUUGUUAUCUAGGCUUAGUUUGAGUAAUAUAAGUACAAAAGUAUUUAUAGAUGCAUAGAAUCAUGAGGUGUUGAACAAGACGAUCC